Molecule: long non-coding RNA, 2910 nt
Filed under: Taeniopygia guttata (zebra finch)
Lineage: Eukaryota; Metazoa; Chordata; Aves; Passeriformes; Estrildidae
Description: lncRNA (ENSTGUG00000022200.1)
Source: RNAcentral
CUGUAUGGGAAUUUAUGAGUACUAUUGCAUAUUUAAAAAUUACUCCAUUCAGUUUAAGAAGACAUUAUGGUUUAGUUCGAUUUUGGGUUUUUUGGAGGGGGAGAUGGAGUAGGAGAUUUUGUUUGUUUUUCAGGGGGAGUGGUAGAGUGGUUUUUGUUUAAUUUUUUUUUUUUUAAGGUUGUCCUGUCCUGCUUCAUUUUUGUAGAUUCAUAGCUGCAAACCAACAGUGCCAUCCACUGUCUCUCAGAAUAAUAUUGCUCAACAGAUUUUCCCUACCAUUAAAUAAAUUAAGAUGCUCUAUUUUAGAGUCUGAGUGCCUACAAGCAACGUGUACAGGGGACAUGCAAGAACAUGAGGCCUCUAAACAAAAAAAGCCAAAUUAUAAUAGAAAUUUGCAUGGAAGAGAAUAAAAACUCCUGACUUAAUUCUACAGAAAACUUCAUGAGUAAUUUAGGAGAUUUUUUCUCCUAUGACUGUAGCAUUUUGUUCAAACACACUAAAUAUGACUGAUUUUUAAAAGGGCUGUAAUCUGACUUCACAUCUGAACCACAAAUUGCCCUGAAUUGUUGUCAGCAUCAGCAGUUCUGAAACUGAUGUUUCCUUCAGGGACACUGGGCACAACACCUGUAGGUGGUCCAGCAGGACAAAGCUGUGCUGGUUUUCAGUAAUUUCUGCAUUUAUCUAAAUGACACUGUUGUAUACACAGGUCUUCUAUGAGUUUUAUUGAUUAAAGAGGGGAACAACAAAAAUUAGCCAUUAAAAUAUAACAUAUUGAUAAUGGAAGAAGACAAGAUCACGUAGGGCAAUAAGAGACAGGAUGCAACCAGAUGUAGCACUUUUGGUACCAUCAAAUUUUCAACUUGUUUGAGGGAUUCCAGCACAUGUGUCAUUCUGGGGAGGCUUAAGGAGGUCUGGAUGUAUUACACUUUGGCUAAGUGUUCUUGCCCAGAACACCACCCCUCUGUAGUUCCAAGGCAAACUAGGAGUAAAUUUGAAUUAAUAUUAGUACCAUAAGAUAAAUUAGUACCAUGUACAUAGACAAAGUAACAUCACAAUCAUCAUACUGUAGACAACUAGCAAUGAAUGUGAUAAUUCAGCUUCUUAAUUCAUAAAACAUUUGGUUUAUGGGGUUUUAGGUGUUUGUGCUAGCACAGAACUUCCCUAAUACAUUUCAGUGAGGUCUAGAAGUGUGUGCCAAAGUGGUGUAACACCUGCUGUAUUUUCCAUGGAUAUUCAUUAUAAACAGAAUUUUUGUGCAGUAUUCAAAACAUUUUCUUGAUACAUCUUGGUACAUCACCAUCAAUAUUAGCUGAUAAUAAAAUCAGUCCUGGACACAAUACUUGAUUUUUUUUGUAUUUGUUUAAAAAAGGUUUCAAUUCCCUGGUGCAAUUAUGGAACUUUAAACGUAAUUCUCUUUAGAACUGCAAAGGAAUUAGACCACAGAAACCCUGCUAAGGGUAAAGCAUGAUAAAAAGAAACAGCUUCAAAGAACUCCUUUCUAUUGCUGUUGCCUCAUGUCAUGUUAUAUUCUAAGCCUGGGCUGUGCUAAUGUCUGUGAACAGACAAUAAGAAAAAAUCAGAAAGGAAAGAAAUCUGUGUAGCCUAGCAUUUCAAAUAGUCACAGAAAAACUUUUGCUACUAUCCUAGUGCAAUUUAACAUUCUACAUUGGGAUGUGCCUUUGAAAUGCAACACUGACUUCCACAGUGUUGACAGAACCACCAGUAAUUCUCAUUCAGCCAAACUCUGAAAGGAGACAGAGGGAACCUGGUCUUUAUUCUGAUGUCACACAGUGUGUAAUGAAAAUUUUCCUUUACGUUACUGUUAUAAAAAUUAUGUCUUAUUUUCAACAUUUCACAUUAGCAAAAACACUAAGCCUGAAACACAUCCUGAAAAGUCACAGGGGAAAAAAGCCCACAGUUAGGAUGGAGUCAGCAGACACAUCUUUCCUCACUGAGAAUUUCCAACUUAGGGAAUGAAGGAUGGCUCUGGAGGGCUGAUUUUGUUUGCAGCCCUCCUAAAUAGCUCCUAAGCAGGAGCAAUUAAUAUCAGCCUUUUUCUGUCCUUCUGUAUCUUGUUUAUUACUCUCUGACUCAGCAGAAAGGGAAGAUCAACAUCCAGAACAUCCUGAUUCCACUUAAUCAGUGUAGCUUCAAGAACUUUUAAUGGAUUUCAACAAGAAAGCAUAAUGCAGAUGGAGGCAAGCAAGUUUGUCUAUAUCACCUUAAAACUGAAAUUUGUCUCCAUGACUGUCUUCAAUAACCCCUGGUGCCUUUCAAACUUAUGUUUGAGGAACGUUUUAAGACUUCAGUCUUGUCUGCCUUUUUUUAAAAAUCCAUACUAUAAAUUUAAAUGCAAGAUCUUUAGUAAAUAACUAAUCCCAAAAUGUCAUGCUUUUAAAUUUACAAUGACGAAGUAUUGAGUAAAAUCUAUUUCUGAGACUCUCUUAUAACAUCUGAUCCUUUUAUGUAGAUCAUCUCUGAUUUCAAUAGUUGUUUCCAAGAAAGAGUCUUGAAAAAACAGAGAACUUACACAGGCAUUUAGAUAGGCUGAAUACAAACCAGUCAUUUCAUAAAACUGUGUGCAAUAACCGUCCAAUUUUAAGCUUAUUAAAUACAUUCUAUGAAGUAGAGAAAAUAACAAAGUGUGACAAAAGCCUGUAUCAGUAAGUAACACUGGAACUGCAAUACCCAUCUCAGUUGUGGAGGAAAAUGCCUAGAAGCAGUUGGAUAUAACCUAGAGGGACUGCAGUGCUGGAGUUGAAGUCAGGAAGGAUGUGGGAUACUCAAAACCACAGAACAAGUCCCCAGUGCAGCCUGAAAGAGCUCUGCUGGACCCCAUGAUGGCAUCCACGAUUCUCUUUGCUCAGAGGAAUUAACCCACUUGGAGAAAUAUGGUUUGAAAGUGGACAU